RNA transcript from Asparagus officinalis (garden asparagus), 2429 nucleotides. It is a transcript of the gene named pentatricopeptide repeat-containing protein At4g16390, chloroplastic, with no coding region annotated. Lineage: Eukaryota; Viridiplantae; Streptophyta; Magnoliopsida; Asparagales; Asparagaceae. The record is from RefSeq and is a predicted model, not a curated record. The transcript has 3 exons.
AAUGGCUUCGGCUCUUUCUCUCCCCUCUUCUCCUCCUCCUUCUCAACUCCACACUCUCUCCUCCUCCUCAUCAUCAUCAUCAACUCUCCUCUCUCCAUGGCUCAAACCCCCCAAACCCCGAAACCCAUUAUCUCACAACAAGCUCUCUUCUCUCUCCCCGAAGCUCUCUCUCCAAACCCAACAAGCUUCAAUCCAACAAAACCCAAAACCAAACCCAGACCCAAACCCUCCAUUCAAAAACUCCAUCUGGGUCAACCCCAACAGCCCCCGAGCUCCCCUCCUCCGCCGCAACUCCUCUGAUUCUCGAUACUCUCGCCUCUCUAAGCUGUCUCAAUCCCUCAAUUCCCUCGAUCUGGAUGAAUCCGCCAUCGCGAAUUUACUCAGCUCUCUGGGCUCAAACCCAAGUGAGCAGGAUGCGGUCAUUGUGCUCGAUAACAUGGAGAAUGCGACCAAUGCCCUUGUAGCUCUCAAUUGGUUUCAGAACAGAAUUAAGGUCAAUCGAGAGGUAAUUUUGUACAAUGUCACUCUUAAAGUUAUUAGAAAGUCUAAAGAUUGGAACUUGGUAGAGACCCAUUUGAAGGAAAUGCUCGAAAAGGGGAUUAGACCCGAUAACGUCACGUUUUCGACUGUGAUUAGCUGCGCUAGGUUCUGUAAUUUGCCUGAAAAGGCUGUUGAGUGGUUUGAGAGGAUGCCCGAGUUUGGAUUGAACCCUGAUGAUGUAACUUACUCUGCAAUGAUUGAUGCUUAUGGUCGAGCUGGGAAUUUAGAGAUGGCUCUAGGGCUUUAUGAUCGUGCGAGGAAGGAAAAAUGGCGUCUUGACCCUGUUACUUUUUCGACUGUAAUUAGGGUUUAUGGCACUUCGGGUAAUUUCGAUGGUGCACUUAAUGUGUAUGAGGAAAUGAAAGCGCUUGGUGUCAAGCCGAACGUCGUGAUUUAUAACACAUUGUUGGAUGCAAUGGGGAAAGCCGGAAGGCCUUGGCAAGUGAAAACUAUUGUUAAAGAAAUGGAGAAUAAUGGGCUAGUGCCGAAUAGAAUAACUUAUGCUGCAAUACUAAGGGCUUAUAGUAGAGCUCGGUAUGCUGAGGAUGCUCUUAGAGUUUACGAAGAAAUGAAGAAGAAAGGAUUUGAACUGAGCAUAGUUUUGUAUAACAUGCUUUUGUCGAUGUGUGCUGAUAUUGGAUUGGUUGAUGAGGCAGUGAAGAUUUUCGAAGAGAUGAAAGGGUUACCAGAGGGUCUUAGGCCUGAUAGCUGGAGUUAUUCGUCGUUGAUCACUGUGUAUUCUUGCAUAGGGAAAGUCUCGGAGGCUGAAGGUAUAUUGAAUGAGAUGUUGGAAGCUGGCUUUCAACCUAAUAUCUUUGUGCUCACUUCACUUAUACAAUGCUAUGGAAAAUCUAAGAAAACUGAUGAUGUGGUUAAAACAUUUAAUCGGAUGUUAGAAUUGAAUAUUGAGCCUGAUGAUAGAUUUUGUGGGUGUCUCUUGAAUGUAUUGACACAAACCUCGUCAGAUGAGGUACAUAAGGUGAUUGAUUGCGUUGAAAGGUCUAACGCUGAAUUGGGUUCAUUGGUAAAGUUGUUAGUGGAUGAGAAAACUGAUAAAGAGACGAUAAAAGUGGGGGCAGGUGAGCUCCUUAAAAAAGUAAGCAAGGAAGUGAGGAAAGCUUACUGUAAUUGUUUGAUCGAUCUCUGUGUAAAUCUCAAUCAAUUAGAUAAAGGUUGUGUGCUCUUAGAACUAUCACUUGGAAUCGGGAUAUAUAAUGAACUUCAAUCAAAAUCGACAACUCAAUGGUCUUUACAUGUUAAGGGUCUCUCCUUUGGUGCAGCGUUCACUGCUUUGCGAAUUUGGAUGAAUGAUUUGUCGAAGGCGAUAAAAGAUGGGGAGGAAUUGCCUCCAUUGCUUGGGAUUCAUACUGGCCAUGGGAAGCAUAAAUAUUCAGAGAGAGGGUUGGCAGCUGUUUUUGAAUCGCAUUUGAGAGAAAUGAAUGCGCCGUUUUAUGAGGCUCAAGAUAAAGUUGGAUGGUUUUUGACGACCAAAGUUGCUGUUAAGUCUUGGCUUGAGUCGAGGAUUACACCUGAACUUGCUGCUGCUUAGCCUGCAGGGAUGGAGAUUGUAUUGGUAUCCUGUGUAUGAAAUGUUUACUCCAAUAUUCUUGCUGUUACGCAAGCAAAAUUAUGAUAUGGUUAGCUUUUAAUCUAAUCGGAAGGGAUUUCUCCUGAAGCCGGAGGGAAAAGUUUUGAGACAAAUACUUGGUUGUUGUUCGCUAACAAUGCAUAACCCAAAUUCAAAGAAUAUAGAGUCUUGUGAGCUGGAGAACCAACAAGGCGAUGCCUUUGAUAAAAAUUCUUGAGGUAACAUUUUUAUGCCUCUCCAGUCUAGCACUGAAACAAUCACGCCCCUUUUUUUUUCUUUUAUUAUUAUUAUUAUUUACUUU